Molecule: ribosomal RNA, 249 nt
Filed under: uncultured bacterium
Lineage: Bacteria
Description: partial 16S ribosomal RNA
Rfam family: Bacterial small subunit ribosomal RNA
Source: RNAcentral
UACUCCUACGGGGGGCAGCAGUAGGGAAUCUUCCACAAUGGGCGCAAGCCUGAUGGAGCAACACCGCGUGAGUGAAGAAGGGUUUCGGCUCGUAAAGCUCUUUUGUUGGAGAAGAACGUGCGGGAGAGUAACUGGUCACGCAGUGACGGUAUCCAACCAGAAAGUCACGGCUAACUAAGUGCCAGCAGCCGCGGUAAUACGUAGGUGGCAAGCGUUAUCCGGCUUUAUUUGGCGUAAAGCGCGCGCAGG